Molecule: transfer RNA, 72 nt
Filed under: Pelobates cultripes (western spadefoot toad)
Lineage: Eukaryota; Metazoa; Chordata; Amphibia; Anura; Pelobatidae
Description: tRNA.Cys
Rfam family: tRNA
About the family: Transfer RNA (tRNA) molecules are approximately 80 nucleotides in length. Their secondary structure includes four short double-helical elements and three loops (D, anti-codon, and T loops).
Source: RNAcentral
UGGGGUAUAGCUCAGUGGUGGAGCAUUUCACUGCAGAUCAAAAUGUCUCAGAUUCAAAUCCUGGUGCCCCCU